CCGCGUCCCCUAGGCGCAUGCGCAUUGCUCCGCACGAGGCGCCUGCCGACCACCCCGGCUUCCCUCUUCACAAGUCUGGCUUUUGUCACCAACGUUGCAGACUCUGGAACCCGACGGGUUCCCAGGUGGCGCUGUGAUCGAAGAGGAAGGGCCGAGGGGAAGCCUUUGAGAGCCACUGAUAUCUUCAUGAAGACCGCAUCCAGCAGCGCACCAUUCUCACGUGCUGGUGACAAGCGACCACGCGCGUCGGGAAUCCAUUCAUGGGGAUGCCCGCGUGGACCUGAGGGUUCUCCGGGCCCUUCCGAUUCCUGAGCCCAGCCUUGUUACAAGGUGUCCCGCCAGGGGCUCCGCCGGCGCUGCUCCCCGUGGCCCACAGGGCAGUCGCUGCUGUGGUAUCCGGGCAAAAACGGGUGCAGCAGACAAACCCAAAGGGAGGGCAGCCUGCAAAGCAGCUGACCGGUGUCGUCAACAGUGUCAAGGACACGAAGGACAAAGAGAAGACAGAGGACCCAUCCUCCCGAGGGGUUAAGGAGGUGUGAUCAUAAAUGUCAUUUGUGAUCUUGGAUUGAAUCCUGGUCCAGAAAAAGAGCAAUCUGAGGGAACUAGGGUAAGGUCUAUGGAUUAGUUAGUGGGAUUUUAUCAGGCUAGAUUCCUGGGUUGGUUUUUUGUUUUGUUUUGUUUUGUUUUUUCAGACAGGGUCUCGCUAUGUAGCCCAGGCUGGCCGGGAACUCUCAGCGAUCCUCCUGCCUCAGCCUCCCAAGUGCUGGGAUUACAGGUGUGCAUCACCAUGCCUGACUAGAUUCCUGGUGUUGAUUAUUUAUUUACUUGAGGAAGUUGGAUGAAAGGUAUGUAUGAACUCUGUACCACAUUUGCAACUACUGUAUUUAGUAAAUGUGAAGUCAUUUCAAAAUAUAAAAUAAAAAAU
This 925-nucleotide long non-coding RNA is filed under the name Heterocephalus glaber (naked mole-rat). RNAcentral describes it as "lncRNA (ENSHGLG00100046063.1)". The record is from RNAcentral. Lineage: Eukaryota; Metazoa; Chordata; Mammalia; Rodentia; Bathyergidae.